GACCGUUUUUUUGCAAGUUUUGCCUGUGGAAUCUUUCUGCAGUUGAUAAGAAAUGGGCUGGACUUACUUCCGUCUGCAAUAUUUUUGGUAAAGUGAUUCAAGGUAUGUUCGAUUGCUUACUUAGGAUGGUUACUGAAGCUCUUUGGGAACCAAGAAAGACAUUCUGUAUGUACAAAUAACAUAGGCCUAAAGUUCGUUUUACAUUGAAAAUCUAUAUAUGAAAUUUUCUGUAACGAUCGAAAAUUCAUUCAUUCACUUUGUGAGAUGUCACACAACACCAUGCUCCAAAUUGUUGUCUAUUUGAUCCUUGUGGCAGAAUCAUAGUCUCGUGCAUAAUUGCAUAUAUACUGUGACUGGGCACCAGUACACUUGCAACAUUCUAAAAGGUAGUUUGUUAUGAUUUUUUUACCAAAACUUUUCUUCUACAGUUUAUAUGCAUGCAGAGGAUCUUCAACUGGUUUCAUCAUUUAUCUAGGCUAUGCAAGGUUGCAUAAUCAUGGAUGGUCAUUGUUAGGUAAUCCAAACAAUACCCAGUUUAGUUUUGAUGGAUUUACUACGAAGUGGUCACGUAUAUGAUGAUAGUUGGGCUGAGUCAGAUAGGGGUGCUCUUGGUUGCAGUUCGAAAUUUGACCACCUGGCCAUAUCUGUCUACCAAUUUGUUAUUAUGAUUCAUCGUUGCUUUUUUACCUUUAGAAAAGACUCCUUGCUCAUUCAGUGAAAAAUCUGAUGACAACUCAAUUAUGAUAUCCAGAUUGGCCUGAUUCUAGAUUUGGGGCACGGAAUGAUGGUCAUGGGAAUACCCAAAGGUAUAUAUGUAUAUAAUUACCUACACCUACAUGUUUAUUUCCCUGUUGUGGUUAGUCUUUGGAUUUCUAGACACUUAUUUUUUCUCUUGGGCACCAUAAAUAUGUAGGACUCGUCAGUAUUGUAAAAAAAAUGCAAAUUAAGCCCUCUGCUAUGCUCUUAGCUGCAGUUAACAGAUAGCGAAUCUUCUCAGAAAUUUUCCAUAUUUGAUGUUCGAAAGAAAACUGAUCCUUGGCUAUAUGCACGUUGGAUCCUCGAUUCUUCAUUACUCUUUAUUAGCCACAAGCAAGUCUUGUGCUCUUUUUACAGUCAGUACUACUACCACCACAAAAGGCUCCUCCCAGUAGUAUAGCAGCUAAACCAUCGAAGGCAGUAUUAGUGCAUGUUUUGGAUACAGUCAAAUGGAUAAUCUGAUAAGAAUAUUCUUUAUCUGUUAACAACAGGCAGUUUCGGCAUUGACUUUUGCAGGUGGGCCGAGGCUGGGCUAUGGGAUUUGUUUUCCAAACAAUUCCAAAAGGGCUAAAGUCUCAUUCAAAAGUUUGGGCUUUCCGCUGGAAGCAUUCAAUGAUUUUACUAAAAAAAAACUUAAUGCCGCUAGACACGACCGUUGGCUGUAGAUUUUUAAUUUUUUUUAGUAAUGUUGCUGCUGAAACCUUGAUUUUUUUUUGUAGUUUCAUCGUGGGACAACUGGAUUUUAGAUGAACUCGGACACAUCUCUGUUCCUAGAAUGUUGCCAUCUUGCUAUAUGCAAAAUAAACUAUUGUAAUUUAUAAUAUUGAAAUUUGUGCAGUGGUUGUUCACGACCAAAUUUUGAUUAAAUGAUUUCUAUCUUCUAUCUCUCCUUUGCACAAUAAUGAAGAUGAUUUUGUCCAAUUAUUUUUGUUCAUUCAUCCUGGCUUAUUCUUCUUAUUGUCAUAUGAAGUUUAGAAUAUCAGAGUUCUACAUUUGCUGCCAACAUUUUACAAUUUAGCUUCAGUUAUUUAUUGGUGUGCAUUUUUUCCUGGAGAAAUUUGAAACCCGGUUUCUUCAGUUUUAGAUAUUUCUUCAGUUUCCACCCGUGCUCCACAUGAAGUACCAAUUUUCAGCGGGUAAAUUUUCGGUUAGCGAAACUUUUAGAUAAAACCCGGGAGUAAUGGCUUAUCAUGCUAGAAGUUUCAAGCCCGUCUCACAAUGUUUUUUCGUCAGUGUGUUUGGAAAAAUCUUGGAAUUAAUAGCUUAUCACACACUAGAAAUCUGGUUGUAACUAGCUCAAACACAAAGCCGUGUUAUAAAGCUUGUCGUAAGGAAAACCUGACAUGUAAUGGUUCCAAGAAGGCGAUACAUGAUUUAUUGUUGUGUUUCUGAAUGCUGGGUAUGCAGAAUGUGAGACUUCAAGACAUACAGAUAGUUAUGUACUUCCAAGAGCACCAGUAUGUGUUUGAAUCAAUAGAUCAAAGUUUCUUUACAUGCU
Molecule: long non-coding RNA, 2254 nt
Filed under: Triticum aestivum (bread wheat)
Lineage: Eukaryota; Viridiplantae; Streptophyta; Magnoliopsida; Poales; Poaceae
Description: long non-coding RNA (TAES_LNC019525)
Source: RNAcentral